GAACGCUGGCGGCGUGCNUAAUACAUGCAAGUCGAGCGAGGGUCUUCGGACCCUAGCGGCGGACGGGUGAGUAACACGUAGGCAACCUGCCUGUNAGACUGGGAUAACAUAGGGAAACUUAUGCUAAUACCGGAUAGGGUUUUGCUUCGCCUGAAGCGAAACGGAAAGAUGGCGCAAGCUAUCACUUACAGAUGGGCCUGCGGCGCAUUAGCUAGUUGGUGAGGUAANGGCUCACCAAGGCGACGAUGCGUAGCCGACCUGAGAGGGUGACCGGCCACACUGGGACUGAGACACGGCCCAGACUCCUACGGGAGGCAGCAGUAGGGAAUUUUCCACAAUGGACGAAAGUCUGAUGGAGCAACGCCGCGUGAACGAUGAAGGCUUUCGGGUCGUAAAGUUCUGUUGUUAGGGAAGAAACAGUGCUAUUUAAAUAAGNUAGCACCUUGACGGUACCUAACGAGAAAGCCACGGCUAACUACGUGCCAGCAGCCGCGGUAAUACGUAGGUGGCAAGCGUUGUCCGGAAUUAUUGGGCGUAAAGCGCGCGCAGGUGGCUAUGUAAGUCUGAUGUUAAAGCCCGAGGCUCAACCUCGGUUCGCAUUGGAAACUGUGUAGCUUGAGUGCAGGAGAGG
RNAcentral lists this ribosomal RNA (631 nucleotides) under Brevibacillus laterosporus. RNAcentral's name for it is "bacterial SSU rRNA". It matches the Rfam family "Bacterial small subunit ribosomal RNA", at positions 31 to 657 of the family's 1533-position model. Lineage: Bacteria; Bacillati; Bacillota; Bacilli; Caryophanales; Paenibacillaceae. The record is from RNAcentral.